CAUCAUCACAGCACAACAUCACUCUCUGCACGAGCACCUGAAGAAAAAGCCUGCUGGAGCCAUGUUCACUACUAGCUCACAACAGAGCCCUGUCCUACACCCAAAAAAGCCAAUCAUUUGACUGGUUACACAGCAAGUAAACAGAGGACCGUGGACCUGCUAGAAGUCCUUGUAGGGGUGUGCGUGUGGUGCAUAUGUAUGGGUGCUGCUGGCCAGGCAGAGGGAGUAGACACCACCGACCACUGAAUAACUAAAUGACAGACAAUGCCAUCAUCUACUUCAUCUACAGAACAUCUACAUUCAUCUCUACCAAGACCUCUACUAGCAUGCAGACAAGUCCGAGUCACAACAGGUCUGGAAACAGGCAUAGGAAAGGAGAAGAAGUUAAAGUAGAUGUGAAGAAAUGGUAGAAAAAUGCAACAUUGAAGGGAAAACAGGACCUGAACUCAAGAUAAAUAAUAGAUCUGCAUUAAUUUAUUUAGAAAGCAGGGCUAGCCUGUUGGAGUGUGGAAGGCUCAGAAGGCUCAGAAAAGAACAAUAAGUACGAACAGAUGAAAUGUGGGCGGAUAAUUUCAAACAAGGGAAACGAGAGGUGCUAGUAAGAGGAAGAAUUUGUAAUGCGACAUGAAAAGGAAUAAAGGAAACAAAUUGGAGAAGAGGAAAAAAAGUAGCGAAGAAAGAAGAAGGUGAUGGUGGGUCAUGGA
This is a long non-coding RNA of Astyanax mexicanus (Mexican tetra), 704 nucleotides long. RefSeq lists it as uncharacterized. The transcript has 4 exons. NCBI's taxonomy places the organism in Eukaryota, Metazoa, Chordata, Actinopteri, Characiformes, Acestrorhamphidae. The record is from RefSeq and is a predicted model, not a curated record.